UUGGAAAUACUGCUGCUAACAGUAGGUUUUCAGGGGAACAUAGUCAUAGAUGCUACUGGCUGACUCAAAGGCUUAGGGAAAUGAAAAACUAAAUAUGGUGUCUUCUCCGUAGGCCAAAUUAUGAUCUGUUACAUGAGUGUAAAUUCAGAAUAACUAUAUCCAGAGUUAACUUAAUGAAGUUAGUCUGGAUUUAUACCAUUGGCAAUGAGAUCAAAAUCUGGCCCUAAGGUUAAACUUUUUGGAGUUUGCGGAAUAAUGAUUUCCUCAUGCAGGUUUACUGAUUCUUGCAAUAGUCACAAAUAGAGCUUAUUGAAAAAUUUAAACUGAUCCCUUUUCGGCCAAAAAAAUGCAGACUCACCAACAUCUUGGGAAUUUGUGUGUCAAUUUCACUGAAUUGUUUUGGUCAAAAAAAAAACAAAACAAACCUAAAAAAGUUAAGAAAGGAAACACAUUCUGGCAUUGAUUAAAAACAGGUUUUUUAUUUGAAUUUCCUUUAAUUUUGUUAAAUGUAAUGUUAAAAAUGCUCAACAUUGAAAUAAAGCAUUGUUUGCCCAAAGUAUGUAUGUUUUUUUUUUUCCCCCUCCUUAUGAAGUGGAUUAAAUUUCUUACCCAAAGUUAUUUGCGUACAAAGCUUAAAAUAUUUAGCAUUAGCGAUUCUGGUAUAAGCAUUGCACCUCUGUUAGUAAAUACACUUUGGCCAUUUUGCAGGUGACAAAUCUCAUUUGAGAAUUGUCCACCUCUUUCAAAUUGUGGGAGAUUUUGCAUUGCUCGGAUUGCUGUAUAUCCUCAAAUGUAUGGAUAAAGUAAGCUAGGCGCAUUAAAUAGUGCUUUAAUCUAAAAAAUAGUUCCAUUAACUUCAGUGUAAUUCUGUCAGAAUCUGACCUUUAGUGAAUUCUGCCAUGAAUACAAAAAGCUAACAAGCUCAGAAAUGUAUUAGCAAACGUGCUCAGAAUUUGUAUUCUUAUAGCUUUUCAUUUGAUUGUAUGCAUUCUUUAUCCAGAGGCAUCUACUGCUGCUAGGAAGUUAUUUUACUGGGCCAAAAGACUUUUUUGGCUGUUCAGAAAAGGACAAUUCAAUAUUUCCCUCUUGGAUACUGAAUAGGUCAUAUGAGUCCAGAUAGUAUUUUACAUGUUCAGAGAUGUUUCUGUCCUGUCACUUUAUACUAGGAAGUGGUUUCUUGCUCCAUAGUUGUGCCAUUGGCUGGUUCCUUGCGAGAAAAAUGAGUUUCAAGUCCUAGUCCCUAGGAAGAUACAAGGAGUAAUUCCUUAAAGUUUGCAUUCAUCUUAAAGCACAGAUGACUGGCAGCCAGGAAUCCUGGAAUCUCUUGACAACUCUGCUAUUGAAUUGCUCUGUUACCCCAGUAAGUUUCCAGCCCCUGUGGUUGCACAGAAAAGCUUGAAAACAAUGACUUUGAGUAGCAAAUAACCAGAAAAACAGUUUAUUUUCAAAAACCAUCAUGAUGUUUGGG
This is a long non-coding RNA of Dermochelys coriacea (leatherback sea turtle), 1468 nucleotides long. RefSeq lists it as uncharacterized. The record is from RefSeq and is a predicted model, not a curated record. The transcript is spliced from 3 exons. NCBI's taxonomy places the organism in Eukaryota, Metazoa, Chordata, Testudines, Dermochelyidae.